Molecule: transfer RNA, 83 nt
Filed under: Canis lupus familiaris (dog)
Lineage: Eukaryota; Metazoa; Chordata; Mammalia; Carnivora; Canidae
Also listed under: 1 other name
Rfam family: tRNA
About the family: Transfer RNA (tRNA) molecules are approximately 80 nucleotides in length. Their secondary structure includes four short double-helical elements and three loops (D, anti-codon, and T loops). Further hydrogen bonds mediate the characteristic L-shaped molecular structure. tRNAs have two regions of fundamental functional importance: the anti-codon, which is responsible for specific mRNA codon recognition, and the 3' end, to which the tRNAs corresponding amino acid is attached (by aminoacyl-tRNA synthetases). tRNAs cope with the degeneracy of the genetic code in two manners: having more than one tRNA (with a specific anti-codon) for a particular amino acid; and 'wobble' base-pairing, i.e. permitting non-standard base-pairing at the 3rd anti-codon position.
Source: Rfam by way of RNAcentral
GCCUGGGUGGCUCAGCGGUUGAGCGUCUGCCUUCAGCUCAGGGCAUGAUUCCAAGGUCUUGGGAUCGAGUCCCAUUUCUGGCU